GUGGGGAAUUUUGGACAAUGGGCGAAAGCCUGAUCCAGCAAUGCCGCGUGUGUGAAGAAGGCCUUCGGGUUGUAAAGCACUUUUGGCAGGGAAGAAACAGUGCGUGCUAAUACCAUGCGCGAAUGACGGUACCUGCAGAAUAAGCACCGGCUAACUACGUGCCAGCAGCCGCGGUAAUACGUAGGGUGCAAGCGUUAAUCGGAAUUACUGGGCGUAAAGCGUGCGCAGGCGGCUUUGUAAGACGGAUGUGAAAGCCCCGGGCUCAACCUGGGAAGGACAUUCGUGACUGCAAGGCUAGAGUGUGUAAGAGGGAGGUGGAAUUCCGCGUGUAGCAGUGAAAUGCGUAGAUAUGCGGAGGAACACCGAUGGCGAAGGCAAUCCCCUGGGCCUGCACUGACGCUCAUGCACGAAAGCGUGGGGAGCAAACAGGAUUAGAAACCCGAGUAGUCC
RNAcentral lists this ribosomal RNA (450 nucleotides) under uncultured bacterium. RNAcentral's name for it is "partial 16S ribosomal RNA". It matches the Rfam family "Bacterial small subunit ribosomal RNA", at positions 354 to 796 of the family's 1533-position model. The record is from RNAcentral.